Molecule: long non-coding RNA, 2900 nt
Organism: Phyllostomus hastatus (greater spear-nosed bat)
Lineage: Eukaryota; Metazoa; Chordata; Mammalia; Chiroptera; Phyllostomidae
Exons: 7
Source: RefSeq, a predicted model, not a curated record
CCUUGCAACAAGACAUGGAAUGCUGGCCCCACUGUGUCCCAGACCCUGUGAGACCCUGGGCCUCCCCUUCCUUGUCUGGGACGUGGUAAGGAGGGAGAACUUAGAUUACAUGGCUCUUCAGCUGGAUCUUGCAUCCUACAACUCCCUCAAUCUCAAGCCAGGACUCCUCUUCUGCAGCCACCGCUGGCCAUCCUCUCAGGAGGUCUGAGGUUCCUCCCGGCAUGUGUCGCGGCUUUUUGGUGUUUCUCUUAAAGCACCAAGCACAGGGGGGCUGUGACUCCUUGAGGCCCUCCACCCCUGAGGCCCUGCUGGCUUCCACUGGGGCCUCUGUUUCCCCGUAGAGGCCUGGCUCUCUGACAGCGAACAGACACGUGAGGAAUGUCUCCAUCCAGCGUAGUUAACUACUCCUCACGGCAGCCUCCACUGCCACCCAGCUUCUCCUGGCGGGGCUCCAGGACAAGCUUUUCUCCAGGUACAGUGUAACCCGACCCCAUCCAGAACUGAAACGUCUUUGAAUUGUGGUUGGAACAUCAACAUCUGGACGAGACUCUAACGGAUCCUGUGAUAAAUCAGCAGCUGCUGUGGGCAAAAGGUCACUCUAAUUCCAGAUUCUCUGCCUGGAAAACACCAAGACAUAAAAUCACCACACAGACUGUGUAAAAGCCACGAGGGGCUCGUGUGGGAGAGAGUGUGGAGGUUUCUAGGAAGAUCAGAGCCAGAUUUGCAGCACACCUGCAGCAAACCCACAAGAUCGCAUGGAUUUCACGUUCUAGAUCGACCAUUUUAGGGGAACCCACGCUUUGCUUCUCAAUUCAGAAGGUCAUCUUAGUCCCAGGAGGUCAGAAGCUAUGAGGAUAUACCCUCUCCAGCAUCCAAAGCCCCUUAUCAAUCCAGUCUUCUGUACCCACCAGGGCGCCCUGCGACCCAGGCUCGCUCCUUCCUGCUUCCUGUGCACACGCUUAUGCUGGAUCGGCAGAUCGUCACACUUGUCCAAAUGGCUGCAACUUUGCAAACAGGGCAGAAGAAAAUCAGACGCUGUCUUUGCCCACAUUAACAGAGGAGGAACUGGCCUCUCAUCGCUGUCAUCUGUGAGGAGAGAGAAGGGAAAGGACACGGGCGAGUCUGUACAGUGGAGAGGUCCGUUUCUACGAGACUGAUUUAGGAAGCACAAAGACUCGGAGUUUCAGAUUUCCCAGGCCACUUUCUAUUCUGUUUCCGACCCCCCUCCCCCGCCCCCCGUCUGGAAAAAGACCAAAGAGAGCCCGGGAGACCUUUUCCAAGGCGGAAUCAUAAUCCUUAUUAAGUGUUCAUGUCAUGUUUUUGCAGGAGCCAUUUUUGAGAUUGUCUAAAAGAAACUGAGCUCUGCUUAAUGAAAAUGGUGUGAGAAGAUGGGCAACAUUUAAGUAAGCCCUCAGUUACAGUAUUUGUCAUUGCACCUUAAAGCUGGAGUUAAGGGACUUCAGGAAAGUGCACUUGCAGGGGGUCAGGAAGAACUGUUGCUCCCUCCUCCCCUGCAGCACGCGGCUCCGCCCUUUCCUGCAGGGCACGGCACUCUCCUCUAGGCAAGAGGGCUUGGAGGGCAGGGCACGGGUCUUAAUCACCUUCGCCCAGUGAAUGUCUGGCACAUAGCUGAAAAUCAGUAACUGUUUGCUUUAGGAAGUGACAAGGGAGAGAAAACAAGAGCGCAGGAAAAGAAACGAGAGAACCACAAAAUUCUUCCAAUCAUAAAAAUGUUUGCUUCAGAUAUAAUCAGAAAGUAAACGCUAAUUUUGCAUGUAUGCUAAGGAAAAACUUAAAGCUUUUAAAUCUGAAAGCUGAUUAAGUCAGCAUCACCUCAUACAACUAUUUAAGCUACACAGACCUCGCCAGAGUCAGAGCCACAACAACUUGUAGCAGAGUGCAAACAGCGGUUCCGCCGAGGUGAAGAGAAAGUCAGCUUCUCAAAUUCAAAGCAUGCUCAGGCCAAGCCUGUCGCCCUGGGUGACUAAUUUGCUAUAUUGAAUCAAAUCAUCCCGUUGGCAGAGCCAAGAUAAAAAUACUGAUGGCAGAAUUCAGCAAACCAGAUGUCUGCUAGAUCUCAUUCUGCUAAAGCCGGAGAAAGCCUCAGAUAAAUUUUUGAUUUGUCUUGCUGAUAAUUUCAAUUUUUUCCUAGUGUAUGGGAAUCCAUGAAGGGACUGAGUCCAAAGUUUCAUUCUGACCAACCAAAGAUAAUGGGUUUAUGUUGAUUAGAAUCUGUUCGGGCACAGGACCUUGAUAUCUGUGGACUGUCUGAGAAAAUACAUUGGCUCACAUAAAUGGAAGACAAAUGGUAGGACAGAUUUCCAAGUUGGUUCAUCCAAUGGCUCAGUGUUGUCAGCAACAAUCCUGGGCAUUCCCUUCCCCUGAAUUACCGGCCUUGGCAGUUUGAUCUGAACUCUAGCUUCUUCCACGGCAAUGAAAUGGCUGCUGGUAGCGGUUGGGUCUGCUUUCCUUUCCAUAUCCAGUGGCAGAGGGAAGGAAAGACCUCCACUGGCUUUCUUUUAAGACAAAAGAAAAAAAUUUCCUCAAAGUUGCAGCAAAGCCUUACUCAUAUUUCAUUGGCUAGAGUUAGGGACUAUUUAAAUGUCUGAACCCAUCACUGGCAAGGGGGAUGGGACUCUGUAAGACCCAUCGUGCUUGUCCUUGAGGCUGAGGGUGGAGGCUGAGUGGGGGGGAGGACCUCAACCUAGUGAUGCUAUUUUUAGGAAUAAAGAAAAGAGAGUGCGGGAAGUGGAUGCUGAGAUGGCUAACAAGAGUGUCCAUCAAAGACAGAGCUGUGUCAAACACACAUUUUGAUAAAAUGCCACAUGCUCAGGAGUUAAAAUAAAAAUCUGGUGAAAAUCAAGGCUUAAGUCAAAAUGUUGCCAUCAUAAAACUGACUU